Molecule: long non-coding RNA, 551 nt
Filed under: Elaeis guineensis (African oil palm)
Lineage: Eukaryota; Viridiplantae; Streptophyta; Magnoliopsida; Arecales; Arecaceae
Description: long non-coding RNA (EGUI_LNC076078)
Source: RNAcentral
GGCCCCCUCAUGCUACCUCGUGCAAUCCGCUUCCCCUUCCGCCAUUCUCUCUCUACCGCGCAGCUCUCUAUCUGUCUCCCCGUCUGGCCCUCCUUCUCGCUCCUCGAAUCCCUUUUCUCCUCCAAACCCUCGAGACAAUGUCUUCUUGAGGCCCCGUUCUUGCUUCGCUGUGCGUGAGAUCGCAUUGCAGUGUUCGAGUCAGAGGAUGCCGCAGAUAUGCCUCUCUCCUCCGCGCGGCCCUUCUUGGAUGGGCUUCUCCCCCUUGGCUUCGGUGAGUUCCCUAGGUGUUUUGGAUGCAAUUUAUGGUUUGAUUUCGUCGCAUCAAGACAAGGUAUAUAUUAGUGUGGAUUAUUAAUCUAGAAGGAAAGGUCAGCCUACAGGGUUUCCUUUUUAUCCUUUCGAGUGUCGUUUCAAAUCUGUAAGAAUUAAGGUUAUAAGAGAAGGAAAAGCAUUCUGAUUUUGGAUUAUUCUUGCCAGAUGUCCGCAAAAAACCUAGAAAGCUACCGAUUAUCGUGAAAAAUCUUCUUGUUUACCCUAACGAAUAUUGAGGU